This 303-nucleotide ribosomal RNA is filed under the name uncultured cyanobacterium. Its description in RNAcentral is "bacterial SSU rRNA". It matches the Rfam family "Bacterial small subunit ribosomal RNA", at positions 28 to 361 of the family's 1533-position model. Lineage: Bacteria; Bacillati; Cyanobacteriota. The record is from RNAcentral.
GAUGAACGCUGGCGGUAUGCCUAACACAUGCAAGUCGAACGCACCUUUAUGGUGAGUGGCGGACGGGUGAGUAACACGUGAGAAUCUGCCUCUUGGUCGGGGAUAACAGUUGGAAACGACUGCUAAUACCGGAUGAGCCGCAAGGUAAAAGAUUUAUUGCCAAGAGAAGAGCUCGCGCCUGAUUAGCUAGAUGGUGGGGUAAAAGCCUACCAUGGCGACGAUCAGUAGCUGGUCUGAGAGGAUGAGCAGCCACACUGGGACUGAGACACGGCCCAGACUCCUACGGGAGGCAGCAGUGGGGAA